UAUCUGCCAUGUGAUUACUUUUCCAUCACCAUGGUUGAUGAGAUCCUUACUGUGUACUUACUGUCUCCAAGCGUCCCCAGGCUUCCAGCCAGCAUGCAGCAGCCAACAUUGGCUUCAGAAGGAAGGAGGUUUGCAUUUCCUUCUCUUGGGUCCAGUGUCAUGGUCUCAGGGUUAUCUCCAAUGUGGAAGGUUGCUAGACCAGGAGCAGUUUGACUCCACUGUUUUUCAGUCUAGCAAGUUUGAGUUUUUCCCAAGCUCUUGAUGUGUGUUCAAAUGAAUGUUCUCCCUUUCCCAAGAGACCUCCCUAUAAGGGAGGGUCUAGUUUCCCGGAGUGCCCUGAGAAGAAGGGGUCAGCAGGAGGGACGAAUGGUGGAGGCUGAGGCCUCAGGCAGGUGCCCUGUGAGGAGUGGCUGUGACAAGCGGCUGAGACCCCAGCAAAGGGUUGUUGCCCAGAAUCUGGGGCCUAAGCGAGGUUAGAAAUCACAAAUGCACUUGGUUUCUCUAGCAGCUGGCACAUGGUAGGAUCACCCCAGGAGUGGCACCUUCGAAGAGAAAGGAACGCAUGAGGCUCCGAGAGCGGUUGGCUGGCAGCCAGGGCCUGGCUGGGGAGGGAGGGCAGGUGGUGCGCUGACCUGGGGAUCUUUGAGAGCCUGCAGGGUAUGUGGCUGAAGCGGCCCAGCUGGUGAACCACUGAAGACGGGGCUCAUAGGUAGAUGGAGGAAUUGCCAGGUCAGAAUCUCGGUAGGAGAUGACUUGAGCUGAUGCUGCCUGGCACUUAGGGGUUUAGAAGAUAUUAGGAAGGAAGCCCCACAGCGUGCCCAAGUGCCAUGCAGGCCCUGGAGACGGUCAUUGGAGGGCGUCUAUGUGGAUGGCGUGUGGGGGAUGGGAAGUCCCUAAUCUGCUGGGGCUUUCUCAGCAAGCAGGGACUGAGGGGGAUAGUCCCCAGUGCAUGGACCCCAGGGAGAAGGGCCUGUUUCACUGGGGUUUGGAGAGUGUUGAGGGUAAGCUAACCUGUCACCCCAUGCUCCCGAGAAUGGUUACUGAUGGGGAGAGGCCUUGUCCUUGCAGGAGAUGGCGUCUACCAGAAGGGGAUGGACUUCAUUUUGGAGAAGCUCAACCAUGGGGACUGGGUGCAUAUCUUCCCAGAAGGUCAGCAGGGCUGACUGGGUCGAGCCCCCCCAGUAUGAGCGGGAUGGGCUCCCAAGCCUCGCCUCUGUGCUCUCUCACCAGGGAAAGUGAACAUGAGUUCCGAAUUCCUGCGUUUCAAGUGGGGAAUCGGGCGCCUGAUUGCUGAGUGUCAUCUCAACCCCAUCAUCCUGCCCCUGUGGCAUGUCGGAAUGAAUGACGUCCUUCCUAACAGUCCGCCCUACUUCCCCCGCUUUGGACAGAAAAUCACCGUGCUGAUCGGGAAGCCCUUCAGUGCCCUGCCUGUACUCGAGCGGCUCCGGGCGGAGAACAAGUCAGCUGUGGAGAUGCGGAAAGUCCUGACGGACUUCAUUCAAGAGGAAUUCCAGCGUCUGAAGACUCAGGCAGAGCAGCUCCACAACCACCUCCAGCCUGGGAGAUAGGCCUUGCUUGCUGCCUUCUGGAUUCUUGGCCUGCACAGAGCUGGGGCUGAGGGAUGGACUGAUGCUUUUAGCUCAAAUGUGGCUUUUAGACAGAUUUGUUCAUAGACCCUCUCAAGUGCCCUCUCCGAGCUGGUAGGCAUUCCAGCUCCUCCGUGCUUCCUCAGUUAAACGAAGGACCUCAGCUGCUUCCCCCACUUGGCCAAGCAGGGAGGAAGAAGCUUAGGCAGGGCUCUCUUUCCUUCUUGCCUUCAGAUGUUCUCUCCCGGGGGCUGGCGUCAGGAGGGAGCAUAGAAGGCAGGUGAGCAACCAGUUGGCUAGGGGAGCGGGGGGCCCACCAGAGCUGUGGAGAGGGGACCCUAAGACUCCUCGGCCUGGCUCCUACCUACCACCCUUGCCGAACCAGGAGCUGCUCACUACCUCCUCAGGGAUGGCCGUUGGCCACGUCUUCCUUCUGCCUGAGCUUCCCCCCCCGCCACAGGCCCUUUCCUCAGGCAAGGUCUGGCCUCAGGUGGGCCGCAGGCGGGAAGAGCAGCCCUUGGUCAGAAGUCAAGCCCAGCCACGUGGAGCCUAGAGUGAGGGCCUGAGGUCUGGCUGCUUGCCCCCAUGCUGGGGCCAACAACUUCUCCAUCCUUUCUGCCUCUCAACAUCACUUGAAUCCUAGGGCCUGGGUUUUCAUGUUUUUGAAACAGAACCAUAAAGCAUAUGUGUUGGCUUAUUGU
RNAcentral lists this small RNA (2287 nucleotides) under Pongo abelii (Sumatran orangutan). RNAcentral's name for it is "retained intron". The record is from RNAcentral. Lineage: Eukaryota; Metazoa; Chordata; Mammalia; Primates; Hominidae.